AGUUAACAGAGAUAUGGCAUGAGCAUAUAUUGGAAAAAUGAUUCACAUAACAAUAGAAAAAUUAAGUGAGACCAGGAUUGGGUGGCUUUGAUGAAUGUAAUUUCGACUUGAACAUGAAGAUGCUUAUAGAACAGUGUUCCUUCCUCUGAGCAUGGCUAUAGAAGAACAAAUCAGUUAGUCUGAAGAUGAAAACAAGAAGCUGAUGGAAGACACAUUCUGAACUGGCUAACACAACACUCUGAAACUGGAGGAUAUCAACUGAUAAGGUAUUAAGUUCUUCCUCAGUUUUAAAUACACUGGGCUCAUAAAUUAUUAACAUAAACAAUGGAUGCCUCAUCAAAUUACCAGGAAGAUAGCUAGAUGUGUACCCCUCUACAAGUGCCGACCCCUCCAAGCACAUCUUUCACCUGGAACUGUGAACUGAAUAGAUAAAUGUGUUGGUUAAAAAGGUCUUUACAUCUUUGAAUUGUAAUGAUCAUGAUUAGUUGCUGAGCUUGCCACCUCCCUGCCCUCUACCUUCCAAGAGUUAUCAUUACAAAGAUAGCCAUUUGGCUUCUGGCAUAAGCUUUAUCAUAAAGCUUGACCCAGAUUGAA
Sapajus apella (tufted capuchin) is the source of this 594-nucleotide long non-coding RNA. RefSeq lists it as uncharacterized. The transcript has 3 exons. NCBI's taxonomy places the organism in Eukaryota, Metazoa, Chordata, Mammalia, Primates, Cebidae. The record is from RefSeq and is a predicted model, not a curated record.